This 437-nucleotide ribosomal RNA is filed under the name uncultured bacterium. RNAcentral describes it as "partial 16S ribosomal RNA". It matches the Rfam family "Bacterial small subunit ribosomal RNA", at positions 29 to 507 of the family's 1533-position model. The record is from RNAcentral.
AGCGAACGCUGGCGGCAGGCCUAACACAUGCAAGUCGAGCGGGCAUCCUUGUGGUUUCAGCGGCUGACGGUUGAGUCACGCGUGUGAAUGUGCCGUUCGUUUCGUAAUUACUCAAGUAAACUUGCGCUAAUACCGGAUACGUGCGAGAGCAGAAUGUUUUAUCUGCCGAAGGAUCGGCGCGCGUCUGAUUUGUUCGUUGGUGUGGUUAUGGCUCAGCACGGCGACGGUUAGUAGCUGGUCUGAGAGAUUGAUCAGCCACACUGGCACUGAGACACGGCCCGGACUCCUACGCGAGGCAGCAGUGGGGAAUAGUGGACAAUGGCGGCAGCCCUGAUCCUGCCAUGACCGGUGAGUGAUGACAGCCUUAGGGUUGUAAAGCUCUUUUCUCCGGGACGAUAAUGACGGUACCGGAGGAAUAAGCCCCGGCUAACUUCGUG